RNAcentral lists this transfer RNA (64 nucleotides) under Schmidingerella taraikaensis. It matches the Rfam family "tRNA", at positions 6 to 65 of the family's 71-position model. Rfam says of the family: Transfer RNA (tRNA) molecules are approximately 80 nucleotides in length. Lineage: Eukaryota; Ciliophora; Spirotrichea; Tintinnida; Rhabdonellidae. The record is from RNAcentral.
CGUGGCGCAAUGGAUAGCGCAUUCGGUUCCGGUCCGAAAGGCUGAGGGUUCGAGUCCCUUCGGG